Long non-coding RNA from Cephus cinctus (wheat stem sawfly), 1663 nucleotides. RefSeq lists it as uncharacterized. The record is from RefSeq and is a predicted model, not a curated record. The transcript is spliced from 2 exons. NCBI's taxonomy places the organism in Eukaryota, Metazoa, Arthropoda, Insecta, Hymenoptera, Cephidae.
ACUCCCAAACUUAUACUACUAUCGUAGCAUCACAUUCGCAAACAAUAAUUCGUUCGAAAACUCAGCGUCACAUGGAAAUCGUACUAGAUCGGAUCAGGGUAACACUGCGAGAGGUUCUUCAGGAAACUCAGCCUCCGGUGAAUGUCAGUCUAACUCUCAAAAUAUAUUAUCUUCAGGAUCAUACUUUUUUCCCAUCGGGAUUGCCCAGACUUUCAUAGCUCAAUAAUUAGACACCCUUACCUCUCGAUAGAGAUGAAAUGGUACCUGAUGUAAACGUAGCACCAUUUAUCCAAAACUAUUUAUAAAAAACCACCUCUGCACGUCACUCCCUACCAUUCUCUCAUCAUCGAUAAUUUUAGAAAUUUCUCUUAAUACAACUGUUAUGAAUCUGUCAUAAAUUCUUAUUUCUAGAUCCUCCAUCUCGUCGAAACCCUCCAGCACGAACUCGUUCGGUCGCUCUUUGUUUGGUCCCUUCAUUUUGCAAACUGAUGCUGUAGCACGGACGUAGUCUGCAGAUCAAUUUUUUAAUUCUUCUUCUAGCACAGCUUACAUUCUCGAGUAUCUCCUAUGAGUGAUUCGGCAUCCACUGCGACAGUCGACCGUCUCGAUGCACGUGUGUGCGUGCGUUAUGACGUUCGAGUGAGGGCGCAGAGCCUAAAGCUCAUUCUUCUAGGAGCUCUCAGAGAAUGAACACGCAUCUCUAAAAAUGGUCGAUUCACGAAUUCUUCUAAUUGUUCACGGGGUAUAUUAACAUCCAAAAAAUAAUAGGCCUCGGUGAAGUUUGGCGACGACGUCAGGAAAAAGGUUGGAAACUUCUUGAAUAGGAAGAGUGGGAAGUCGAAGAUAUCUUCUCCAUGAGAGUUCUCGCCGGUCUUCCUCCUUAUUAGGAUGAAGAUGGGCGUUGGUGGUGGGAAGUUUCGACGAAAUUCGACGGAAUCGAUUACCAUCGAUAGGCUCAAAUCAAGCCGUUAUAAAAAUUUUAGCGCUCAAUACUAUCUCAAUGCUGGACCAAUUGUGAAACCUUAAAUGGGUCGCUGAACUGUUCUGCGCACUACAAAAGCUGGCACGGAAAUAUUAGAUUAUUUCAUUUUCUUUCAAUGGUUUUGACUUUUGCCAGUAGCACGUCAGACUCUAGCAUUGACCGUUACUUAUAACUCUUGUUCUUUUCAGUUGUUUCGUUCCUACUGCUACGCUCCCAGGCUCGACACGGAAACGAUAACAAAUUGGACAAAUGAUUAAUAUCAAUCGCAGUUGAUUACGAAUAAAUGACCUUGAGACAUUUCGCUGAUUAAUCGUACCUGGCGACAGGUAGAGUGAGAAAACAAAAUGGAAAAAAAUGAAAAAUGAGCACGGAAAAGGAAAGGGAAGAAGUGAAUUUCGGUCAGUUGGUGUUUUGCUCAAAGAAUGGAUUCGUUAUUACUUAUAACGAAAACUCGAGCUUAUUGGUAAUACAGCUCCACUUCUAAUGAAAAAUGAUGACAUGGAGGAAUUAUUGGUGGGAAACUGUGAAAUACGACAUCCAUCGGAUUCAAUUUUAUUUCACCCAAUUCUCAAAAUCUAAUAAUAUGUCAACUGUUAUGUCAUAUCAGAAUUAUAUUAGCUGCCUUUAUCUUAGGAAUCCUACUUCACGAAGAAAAUAAAGAUGAACAAAAUAGAUAGAAAA